Molecule: long non-coding RNA, 1386 nt
Organism: Oryzias melastigma (Indian medaka)
Lineage: Eukaryota; Metazoa; Chordata; Actinopteri; Beloniformes; Adrianichthyidae
Exons: 2
Source: RefSeq, a predicted model, not a curated record
CGUCCCUCUAACCUAAACACACUCGGCCGUCGUCAGGCUCACUUACAGAUAUGAUAAACACAGUUUGGAGGCGGGAGCAGCCGAGGAGCGAAAACGCUUCAUUCUCCUUUGAAGAGGGAGUGUCCUCAUCAUCCGUUCUUCCAUCGGUGCUCAGAGUCCAGGAGGGCGGACGGCGUCUCUCCUCCCAUCAGCCCGUCUGUUCUUCGUGGUCGUCACGGCGAUGAGGUUCCUUUCCUCUGUUUCAGCAGCUUACAGCAGGUGUGGGACCUGCAGAUGCCCGCUGAUGUUGUCUUUGCCCCCCUGAGGUUCUCACUCCUCUGCUGUGGCGGGACAGCCCCCCCACAUCCUGACCGCGCCACACCGCCAGCAAACCGAGCGGGGGCCUGGAUUCCUCCGUCAGGCGUGCAACCUGCACCCAUCCAGGAACUCGCCGUCAACGGGGGGAAGAUUUAUGAAGAGCUGCUCCCUGGGGGGGUCAGUCUCCUGCAGCUCCUUUUCAAACAAUAACCUCCACAUCGGCGCGACUCCUCAGGGACGCGGAGCACAUCUGUUUGUCCGAGCAGCUGCUGCUCCUCCGCAGGCCGGAGCGGCGAGGAAGGGCGUCGACCCGGCAGCCACGGCCCAGUAAAAACACCCCCCCGACACGCUCAGGAAGCGGGGGUCCACCCUUAUCUCAACCUUUCACAGUGUGGUUUCCACGGAGGUCUGAACGCAGACCGAGCGGGCUGGAGAGGUCACGAACCGCCAAAAAUAAACCCGACCAGCAGACAAUCGCAUGAGGUCAGAGGUCGAAAGGUUCUGCUCCUCCGUUAUCACUUUUGGACAGAGCACGAGUCUGUCUCUGUCGGCGCCCAACAAGGUGGACUUUACAGCAUCAGUGGUUUCAGAGUUUGGAUCCCCGAUGCUGGUCGAUCUCUGUCUUUACUUCCUGCUUCCUCAGGAGAACUUCCUGUAUCAUCCAAUGGACUCAUCUACUGAUUUGAUGUUUUACAUUUAAAAUGUUUUCUUUUUCUUUUAGAAAUUGUUGCUAAUUUGAGGUAUUUUUGUUUGUUUUUGCAGCACUUGUUAGAGAUCAAAUACAUUUAAAUGUUUUAUUUAGCCUUGAAUUUGAUUAGAAACCUUGUUGGAGAAGAGGCGGAGCCAAGCACUGAUCAAAAAGUGACCUCUGUUCGAGAUGAAGGAUCUUCUGUUGAAUGACCCCCGCUGGGCUACUGUCAUAUUGUUCCCAAAUUCAUUCAUUUUUACUUUAUUAAUUAUUUGUUGCAGUUUAUUAUUUUUACUUAAUUGUUAAAAUUGGAAGAACAUUUGAUCAAUUUGUUAUGUUUUUUGUUUUCUAAAUGAAAUGGCUUCCCUAUUAGUUACUUUAUUAAAAACAGCUGCAUUGUU